This 411-nucleotide ribosomal RNA is filed under the name Verrucomicrobiota bacterium. RNAcentral describes it as "Verrucomicrobia bacterium partial 16S ribosomal RNA". It matches the Rfam family "Bacterial small subunit ribosomal RNA", at positions 355 to 776 of the family's 1533-position model. The record is from RNAcentral. Lineage: Bacteria; Pseudomonadati; Verrucomicrobiota.
UGGGGAAUCUUGCGCAAUGGGGGAAACCCUGACGCAGCGACGCCGCGUGCGGGAUGAAGGCCUUCGGGUUGUAAACCGCUUUCAGCAGGGACGAGGCCUUAUGGUGACGGUACCUGCAGAAGAAGCUCCGGCUAAAUACGUGCCAGCAGCCGCGGUAAUACGUAUGGAGCAAGCGUUAUCCGGAUUCAUUGGGCGUAAAGCGCUCGUAGGCGGUCUGUUAGGUCGGCAAGUUAAAUCCGGGGGCUCAACCCCCGUCCGCUUCCGAUACCGGCAGACUUGAGUUUGGUAGGGGAAGGUGAAAUUCCUAGUGUAGCGGUGGAAUGCGCAGAUAUUAGGAAGAACACCGGUGGCGAAGGCGGCCUUCUGGGCCAUAACUGACGCUGAGGAGCGAAAGCUAGGGGAGCGAACAGG